AAUGAACGUUGGCGGCGUGGAUUAGGCAUGCAAGUCGAACGGGCCGCAAGGCCAGUGGCGGGAGGGUGAGUAAUGCGACGGUAACCAACCCCGGAAAUGGGUAUAGCCGCGGGAAACUGCGGGUAAUCCCCAGCGACGUGUCGGGUCGGCAUCGACCUGACACCAAAGCUCCGGCGUUCCGGGACGGGCCGUUGUGGUAUUAGCUAGUUGGCGGGGUAACGGCCCACCAAGGCUGCGAUGCCUACCGGGCGUGCGAGCGUGGCCCGGCACACUGGGACUGAGACACUGCCCAGACUCCUACGGGAGGCUGCAGUCGAGAAUCUUCGGCAAUGGGCGCAAGCCUGACCGAGCGACGCCGCGUGGAGGACGAAGGCCUUCGGGUUGUAAACUCCUGUCGAGGGGGAGGAAGGCGUAAGCUUGACCGAUCCCUGGAGGAAGCACGGGCUAAGUUCGUGCCAGCAGCCGCGGUAAU
Molecule: ribosomal RNA, 472 nt
Filed under: uncultured bacterium
Lineage: Bacteria
Description: bacterial SSU rRNA
Rfam family: Bacterial small subunit ribosomal RNA
Source: RNAcentral